RNAcentral lists this ribosomal RNA (292 nucleotides) under uncultured bacterium. Its description in RNAcentral is "partial 16S ribosomal RNA". It matches the Rfam family "Bacterial small subunit ribosomal RNA", at positions 505 to 796 of the family's 1533-position model. The record is from RNAcentral.
GUGUCAGCCGCCGCGGUAAUACGUAGGGCGCAAGCGUUGUCCGGAAUUAUUGGGCGUAAAGAGCUCGUAGGUGGUUUGUCGCGUCUGUCGUGAAAGCCCAUGGCUUAACUGUGGGUCUGCGGUGGAUACGGGCAGGCUAGAGGCAGGUAGGGGAGAACGGAAUUCCCGGUGUAGCGGUGAAAUGCGCAGAUAUCGGGAGGAACACCGGUGGCGAAGGCGGUUCUCUGGGCCUGUACUGACGCUGAGGAGCGAAAGCGUGGGGAGCGAACAGGAUUAGAAACCCUAGUAGUCC